CAAGUCGCGGGAAUCCAGCAAUGGGGAACCGGCGUAAGGGGCAGUAAGGCAUGGGUAUCUACCCAGGGGUUCGGGAUAGCCACCAGAGAUGGUGGGUAAUGCCGGAUGAUGUCGUGAGACCAAAGGUCCGCCGCCCUUGGAGGAGCCCAUGUGAUAUUAGCUAGUUGGUGAGGUAACGGCUCACCAAGGCGAAGAUGUCUAGCGGGUGUGAGAGCACGACCCGCGCCACUCGCACUGAGACACUGGCGAGACACCUACGGGUGGCUGCAGUCGAGGAUCUUCGGCAAUGGGGGCAACCCUGACCGAGCGAUGCCGCGUGCGCGAUGAAGGCCUUCGGGUUGUAAAGCGCGAAAGUGGGGAGAAACGCCGAAAGGCUUGAUCUAUCCACAGUAAGCUCGGGCUAAGUUCGUGCCAGCAGCCGCGGUAAGACGAACCGAGCGAACGUUGUUCGGAAUCACUGGGCUUAAAGGGCGCGUAGGCGGGCUGUCAAGUCUGGGGUGAAAUCCCGCGGCUCAACCGUGGAACUGCCUCAGAUACUGACGGCCUCGAGGGAGAUAGGGGCGAGCGGAACUAAUGGUGGAGCGGUGAAAUGCGUUGAUAUCAUUAGGAACUCCGGUGGCGAAGGCGGCUCGCUGGAUCUCUUCUGACGCUGAGGCGCGAAAGCUAGGGGAGCAAACGGGAUUAGAUACCCCGGUAGUCCUAGCCCUAAACGUUGGGUACUAGGUAGUAGACUAGACAUGGGUUUACUGCCGAAGCAAAAGUGCUAAGUACCCCGCCUGGGGAGUAUGGUCGCAAGGCUGAAACUCAAAGGAAUUGACGGGGGCUCACACAAGCGGUGGAA
This 841-nucleotide ribosomal RNA is filed under the name uncultured Planctomycetaceae bacterium. RNAcentral's name for it is "bacterial SSU rRNA". It matches the Rfam family "Bacterial small subunit ribosomal RNA", at positions 58 to 937 of the family's 1533-position model. The record is from RNAcentral. Lineage: Bacteria; Pseudomonadati; Planctomycetota; Planctomycetia; Planctomycetales; Planctomycetaceae.